GACUCACAGCAGUGGAUCACUCGGCUCGUGCAUCAAUGAAAAAGGUUGCCAACUGCGAGAACUUGUGUGAAUUGCAGGAUACACUGAUCAUAGAUACUGUUGCGGUUCUGCAACGCUGGCACUCCCACAAGACAAUGGCACCCAACAUAUAGCGGUU
Molecule: ribosomal RNA, 157 nt
Filed under: Eptatretus burgeri (inshore hagfish)
Lineage: Eukaryota; Metazoa; Chordata; Myxini; Myxiniformes; Myxinidae
Description: 5.8S ribosomal RNA (ENSEBUG00000000032.1)
Rfam family: 5.8S ribosomal RNA (bases 1-121)
About the family: 5.8S ribosomal RNA (5.8S rRNA) is a component of the large subunit of the eukaryotic ribosome. It is transcribed by RNA polymerase I as part of the 45S precursor that also contains 18S and 28S rRNA.
Source: RNAcentral